GACAGAGGUGCCGAGCGUUAGGCGGAAUCACUGGGCUUAAAGCGUGUGUAGGCGGACCGUUAAGUACCUUGUGAAAUCCUGCGGCUCAACCGCAGAACGGCUGGGUAUACUGGCGGUCUUGGGCCACCUAGGGGCAGAUGGAACAAGUGGUGGAGCGGUGAAAUGCGUAGAGAUCCGGAGGAACACCAGUGGCGAAGGCGACGUCCUGGGCUUGACCUGACGCUGAGACGCGACAGCACGGGGAGCGAACGGG
Molecule: ribosomal RNA, 253 nt
Filed under: uncultured bacterium
Lineage: Bacteria
Description: partial 16S ribosomal RNA
Rfam family: Bacterial small subunit ribosomal RNA
Source: RNAcentral